ACAACAUUCGGACCGUCGCCGCGUCGGUCUACCGUGCAAUAUCACUCGCUCGAUGGAAGAUCUUUCCUUUGUCGU
RNAcentral lists this microRNA precursor (75 nucleotides) under Bombyx mori (domestic silkworm). RNAcentral's name for it is "mir-2774 microRNA precursor family". It matches the Rfam family "mir-2774 microRNA precursor family". The record is from Rfam by way of RNAcentral. Lineage: Eukaryota; Metazoa; Arthropoda; Insecta; Lepidoptera; Bombycidae.